AAUCUGGUUGAUCCUGGCUGAACUGAUAUGUUUCUUUCAAAGAUUUAGCCAUGCAUGUCUAAGUGGAGUAUUAUAUAGCGAAACUGCGAACGGCUCAUUACAACAGAUAUAAUUUACUAGUUCUUGUUUCUAUAUGGAUAACUGCGGUAAUUCUGGAGCCAAUACAUGCAUCAAGCCCUGGCCGCUCGGUUAGGGUGCAAUUAUUGGAGCAAAACCAGUCUCGUACUGUUUGCUAACUCAGGAUAAUUCUGCAUAUCGCAUGGUCUUGUACCGGCGAAGUUUCUUUCAAGUAUCUGCUUUAUCAACUAUCGUUGGUAGUUUAUUGGUCUACCAUGGUGUUGACGGGUAACGGAGAAUCAGGGUUUGACUCCGGAGAGGGAGCCUUAGAAACGGCUACCAUGUCUAAGGAUAGCAGCAGGCGCGAAAAUUACCCAAUAUCAAAACGAUGAGGUAGUGACGAGAAAUAACAAGAUCGUUCUCUUUGAGAUCGAUUAUUGGAAUGAGUACAAUCCAGAAAUUUUAACGAGUACCUACGAGAGGGCAAGUCUGGUGCCAGCAGCCGCGGUAAUUCCAGCUCUCGUAAUGUAUAGAAUUAUUGUUGCGAUUAAAAAGUUCGUAGUUGGAUUGCAACGCAGGUAUGGGUCCACCCUCUGGGUGCGUACUCAAUGCUUGCAUUUUGCAUGUUUUUGUGGCGUCGCUUCGGUGGCGUUCAUGAUGCAUGCAGGAUUACUUUGAACGGCUCAAGUGCUUAAAGCAAGUCUUAUGACUGAAUACCGGUGCAUGGAAUAAUGGAACAAGGUUGUGGCUGAGUUUUAUUGGUUUUGUCGGCUAAAACAAUGGUUAACAGGAACAGCCGGGGGCAUUCGUAUCGCUGCGCGAGAGGUGAAAUUCGUGGACCGUAGCGAGACGUCCUACAGCGAAGGCAUUUGCCAAGAGUGUUUUCAUUAAUCAAGAACGAAAGUCAGAGGUUCGAAGGCGAUUAGAUACCGCUCUAGUUCUGACCGUAAACGAUGCCAACUGUCGAUCCGCUUGUGGAUUUUAUUCAUGAGCGGGGAGAUUUCCGGAAACGAAAGUUUUUCGGUUUCGGGGGAAGUAUGGUUGCAAAGCUGAAACUUAAAGGAAUUGACGGAAGGGCACCACCAGGAGUGGAGCUUGCGGCUUAAUUUGACUCAACACGGGAAAUCUCACCCGGCCAGUACAUCGUAAGGAUUGACAGACUGACAGCUCUUUCAUGAUUCGGUGAAUGGUGGUGCAUGGCCGUUCUUAGUUCGUGGAUUGAUUUGUCUGGUUUAUUCCGAUAACGAACGAGACUUUAACUAUUAAAUAGUGCGCAUGUUGCUUCGGCUGCGUGUGAUCACUUCUUAAAGGAAUUUGUGGUUUUCAACCUCAAGAAAUUGAGCAAUAACAGGUCUGUGAUGCCCUUAGAUGUUCGGGGCCGCACGCGUGCUACAAUGGUGGUAACAGCGUGAUUGUCCUUUUCCGACAGGAAUUGGCAAACAGUUGAGAUAUUAUUAUGGCUGGAAUUGAGUGUUGAAAUUUUCUCUCAUGAACGAGGAAUUCCAAGUAAAUGUGAGUCAUUAACUUGCAUUGAUUACGUCCCUGCCCUUUGUACACACCGCCCGUCGCUGCCCGGGACUGAGUUACUUCGAGAAAACUAGGGAUCGCUGGAGUUCGAUGUUUCGGCAUUGUCUUUGGUGAGAACUAGUUUAAUCGCAGUGGCUUGAACCGGGCAAAAGUCGUAACAAGGUAGCCGUAGGUGAACCUUCGGCUGGAUCAUUA
This 1779-nucleotide ribosomal RNA is filed under the name Bursaphelenchus xylophilus (pine wood nematode). RNAcentral's name for it is "Eukaryotic small subunit ribosomal RNA". It matches the Rfam family "Eukaryotic small subunit ribosomal RNA". Lineage: Eukaryota; Metazoa; Nematoda; Chromadorea; Rhabditida; Aphelenchoididae. The record is from Rfam by way of RNAcentral.